Molecule: long non-coding RNA, 1267 nt
Organism: Prunus dulcis (almond)
Lineage: Eukaryota; Viridiplantae; Streptophyta; Magnoliopsida; Rosales; Rosaceae
Exons: 2
Source: RefSeq, a predicted model, not a curated record
UCAAAAAAGAGAACAGUCGUAGGAAGAAAAACUUAGCAAGCAGACUUGAGAAAGAAAAGAGCCAUUUCAAGGUACAAUUUUAGUUUCAUAGCACAAUUUUCUGAUUUUUUUUGCUCAAGAUUUCAGGUUCUGUUCAACUCAAGGGUUCCUGCCCAUGAUGAUUUCUAUCAUCAUAAAAAGGGUCAGUAAUCUCUCUAAGGGAAGGCUUCGCUCAAAGACUUCCAAGGAUCAAAUACCUCUAGGACAUCCAGCUAUGGAUUGACAGCCAAGAUGAUUGUAAUCAUCAUGAGGUCAAGUCCUGAUAUGCUCCAAGGUGCAGCUCCGCUCAGACGCUUCCAGGAUGUGCUCAACAUCCAAUUCACAAGCACUCCGUAAGGAUGGCUUAUCAUGAUGGGCUAACCAUCACAAAACCAAAUCUGGUGGCUUUGCAAGGAAAGCACGAACUGAGGUUUGUCUUUGACGUGGGUUGUGCCGCAGGGAGAUAGCAGACAGAGAAAAGGAAAAAAAUUAACGAAGGCAUUCGCUCAAAUACCCAGUCAUGAAAAAGCCUGCGAAGGUGAGCCCACCACGUGAAAGCUAAAGAAAAAAAUCAGCCAUGCUGAAAAAGCAAAACAAAAUGAAGAGUAAGUGUGGUGGUGAACCCACCACUUGCGAAUUCAAAGGAAGAGGACUUCUUCCUCUUUGACUCGAAGCAGAGUAAGAAAAAAAGAAGUCUUGGACUUCACGGACUUGCAUGUCCAAAUUGAAUCCAAGAUUCUGAAAAAGGGAUGGGUUGCAACUCUACAUGCAGCAAAACAAGGAAUUUGAAUUAUGAGUCCAAAUUCUAUUGCAUGAAGCUUAUGAUAAAAAAAAACAAUUGUGUUGCUGUGGGGCUGGCGCUGUACAGCACGUUUCACAAGACCAAUUCAAGAUGGCUGGGUCUCUCUACGAUGCCUUGAAGCAUCCAAAUGGCAAGCAAGAUUGUCAUGAUGAUUGCAAUCAUCAUGUGGCUUUGCUGCUCAAAUGCUCCCAUCCCAGGAUGCCUUUAGCAAUACAUGGCAACAACAAAAAAGGAAAACAAUUCAAAGUUGGGUUACCACGUGAAAUCCUCUUCUCUUUGAUGGUGCAACAGGUGGCUUGAGCAAAGCUAUGUGCUGGUCUGGAGAAGCAAACGAAGAAUAAUAUUAAGACUUUCGUUUUGUUGCUGUUUGCUGGUGCACAUAUGUUUUCUUUUUUUAUAAGGAAAACACAUAUGGCCCAAUCCUAUGUGGACAAGAAGUUUACUUCA